UAAAAGUGAAAGAAGAAACUGAGUUCUUUGUUUUCUUUUGUGACUAGCGACUUCUGGUAGUAAAAGCCUGCAAUUGGUUCAAGUGGCUGAAGAAGAUGGUUGAAUCGGGGCUGUUGAUGGGCGUGUUGAGAGUGGUCGUCAUUUGAGUGAGGUGAAGAAGCAAGUUGCGGCUGUUGGUGUUAGAGUGUGUUAAGAGGAAGUUCAGGUGGAGUCGUGGCUGCCGUGUUUUGGCGUGCUACUGUGAGCAGAGCGGCGACAGAACUGGAGUGAGGGAAGAGAUGACAAAGGCGAGUUCCUUAAGCGGUGAUUAGGAUCCGCAACGGCUGGUUCAUUUAGGUUUAAGGAGUGUAGGGGUUUUG
Molecule: long non-coding RNA, 359 nt
Filed under: Nicotiana benthamiana
Lineage: Eukaryota; Viridiplantae; Streptophyta; Magnoliopsida; Solanales; Solanaceae
Description: long non-coding RNA (NBEN_LNC035569)
Source: RNAcentral